Long non-coding RNA from Callorhinchus milii (elephant shark), 701 nucleotides. RefSeq lists it as uncharacterized. The transcript is spliced from 3 exons. NCBI's taxonomy places the organism in Eukaryota, Metazoa, Chordata, Chondrichthyes, Chimaeriformes, Callorhinchidae. The record is from RefSeq and is a predicted model, not a curated record.
UAUCCUGCUAACGUGAAAGACGCUAUGCAAAUGUAAGUUUGUAUUGUAGUUUGUAUUGUUACUUCAAAAAUAUAUCCAGGUGCUUUUACAUGUAGUAGUUGAUGAUUAGGUAACGCUCCAUGGUAUUUUGUUUACAUCAAUGGUUACGUAUAUUAGACACAAAUCUAUUAUUUAAUACAUUAAAUAGUUACUUUGAUUAUAUCCACGCACCAGAUACAGUUAAAUAAUUUCCCGAUCUUGUUAUGACCGCAGAUGAGUUAUUACAUUAAGGUGUUUUACAGAAGUACCCCCCGCAAAAUGGAGGAUUACAGCUACUUUGCUGAGACAUUUAGACUCUCUGAAACUCUCGUUAAUUUUACGAUGCUACCGUUUCCUUUUCAGUACAACUACUCAGAGAUGCUGAAUGCCCAAACAAUACAGAAUAACCUGUAGACUGUCCACACGGUAAAGGACAGCAAAGAGCAAAAGAGUUGAGGAAAAGCGGGCGGAGGGGGCCAUGGAGCGGGGGCGGAGCUCGCUGUGCGGAAGGAGCAGGCAGAAAAAGAGACAAAGAAACAUUAGCUUCUCUAAGAGAUUGCACCAAGAUAGAAUCUGUAAGACUAUGGCAUCUUGCAUACUACAGCUCCUUCAGGUAGGAUCAUGUCUAUUCUAUUUGGUCUUCUAAUAAUAAUCCUGACAUUUGGUACAGUGCCUUAUCACGU